RNAcentral lists this ribosomal RNA (350 nucleotides) under Lactococcus lactis. Its description in RNAcentral is "bacterial SSU rRNA". It matches the Rfam family "Bacterial small subunit ribosomal RNA", at positions 28 to 368 of the family's 1533-position model. The record is from RNAcentral. Lineage: Bacteria; Bacillati; Bacillota; Bacilli; Lactobacillales; Streptococcaceae.
GACGAACGCUGGCGGCGUGCCUAAUACAUGCAAGUUGAGCGCUGAAGGUUGGUACUUGUACCGACUGGAUGAGCAGCGAACGGGUGAGUAACGCGUGGGGAAUCUGCCUUUGAGCGGGGGACAACAUUUGGAAACGAAUGCUAAUACCGCAUAAAAACUUUAAACACAAGUUUUAAGUUUGAAAGAUGCAAUUGCAUCACUCAAAGAUGAUCCCGCGUUGUAUUAGCUAGUUGGUGAGGUAAAGGCUCACCAAGGCGAUGAUACAUAGCCGACCUGAGAGGGUGAUCGGCCACAUUGGGACUGAGACACGGCCCAAACUCCUACGGGAGGCAGCAGUAGGGAAUCUUCGG